RNAcentral lists this ribosomal RNA (440 nucleotides) under uncultured bacterium. Its description in RNAcentral is "partial 16S ribosomal RNA". It matches the Rfam family "Bacterial small subunit ribosomal RNA", at positions 338 to 795 of the family's 1533-position model. The record is from RNAcentral.
CCUACGGGUGGCAGCAGUGGGGAAUAUUGCACAAUGGGGGAAACCCUGAUGCAGCGACGCCGCGUGAGUGAAGAAGUCUUUCGGUAUGUAAAGCUCUGUCAGCAGGGAAGAAAAUGACGGUACCUGACCAAGAAGCCCCGGCUAACUACGUGCCAGCCGCCGCGUUAAUACGUAGGGGGCAAGCGUUAUCCGGAUUUACUGGGUGUAAAGGGAGCGUAGACGGCAGGGCAAGUCUGGAGUGAAAGGCGGGGGCUCAACCCCCGGACUGCUCUGGAAACUGGCAGGCUGGAGUGCAGGAGAGGUAAGUGGAAUUCGUAGUGUAGCGGUGAAAUGCGUAGAUAUUAGGAAGAACACCAGUGGCGAAGGCGGCUUACUGGACUGUAACUGACGUUGAGGCUCGAAAGCGUGGGGAGCAAACAGGAUUAGAUACCCUUGUAGUC